Molecule: ribosomal RNA, 309 nt
Filed under: uncultured bacterium
Lineage: Bacteria
Description: partial 16S ribosomal RNA
Rfam family: Bacterial small subunit ribosomal RNA
Source: RNAcentral
AGAGACAGCAGUAGCCGCGGUAACACGAAGGGUGCAAGCGUUAAUCGGAAUUACUGGGCGUAAAGCGUGCGCAGGCGGUUCGCUAAGACAGAUGUGAAAUCCCCGGGCUUAACCUGGGAACUGCAUUUGUGACUGGCGGGCUAGAGUAUGGCAGAGGGGGGUAGAAUUCCACGUGUAGCAGUGAAAUGCGUAGAGAUGUGGAGGAAUACCGAUGGCGAAGGCAGCCCCCUGGGCCAAUACUGACGCUCAUGCACGAAAGCGUGGGGAGCAAACAGGAUUAGAUACCCCCGUAGUCCCUGUCUCUUAUAC